AUGCGCAGCACUCCCCCUCUCAACGGCCGCCACUGUAGGAGUACUAAAGAAAAUAUACCCUCCUCUCGCCCUCGUUUGCAUCUACUACUCCAAGAACACACUAAAUCAAGGGGAGCGUGCAGAGAAGCCAUGGUGCAUCCGGUGGCGGAGGCCGACGAGCGGAGCCCCUUCGGCCGGCUCACCACGGAGGCGUACUGCGCGCGCCACGGCGUCAUGCACUCUUCCUCCACCUUGGUCAACCCGCGGGGGCUCCGCAUCUUCACGCAGCGCUGGGCGCCCCCGUCCUCGGCGCCAUCGCCGUCGUCCACGGCUUCACCGGCGAGUCCAGCUGGAUGGUCCUGCUCACCGCCGUCCACUUCGCCAAGCAGGGCUUCGCCGUCGCCGCCGUCGACCACCAGGGGCACGGCUUCUCCGAGGGCUUCCAGGCCCACAUCCCGGACAUCGGCCCCGUGCUCGACGACUGCGAGGCCGGCUUCGCCCCCUUCCGCGCUGACUACCCUCCCCCGCUGCUCUGCUUCCUCUACGGGGAGUCCCUCGGCAGCGCCAUCGCGCUGCUGCUGCACCUCACCAAAUCAGACACAGGUGUCGCGCGCGCGCGAGCAUCGCACCGCCCAGGGCCCGCAGCCCGCAGGCACUGAAGCAAGAUGUGGACGCCCGCAUCGUUCCGCUGCAGCCGCCGUUGCUGGGUCCAGGGCAGCACCUCCUUCGUGUCGCCCGUCAAACCACCGCCCCGGCCCCGGCGCCACCCGCAACAGCCCAACGUCGUGCUGCCGCGCCCGAACCCGGCGAGGCGGCCUCCAUUCUCCCAAGCGAGCACGCCUUCCAUCUUAUCGUCUUCCGCCGCGACGCCUCGCCCCAAGCGAGAAGGCCAGCCGCCGGGACGCCUCGCCCCCUUCCUAG
RNAcentral lists this ribosomal RNA (900 nucleotides) under Triticum aestivum (bread wheat). Its description in RNAcentral is "partial small subunit ribosomal RNA". Lineage: Eukaryota; Viridiplantae; Streptophyta; Magnoliopsida; Poales; Poaceae. The record is from RNAcentral.